This 73-nucleotide transfer RNA is filed under the name Chaetoceros curvisetus. RNAcentral describes it as "tRNA-Phe". It matches the Rfam family "tRNA". From Rfam's summary of the family: Transfer RNA (tRNA) molecules are approximately 80 nucleotides in length. Their secondary structure includes four short double-helical elements and three loops (D, anti-codon, and T loops). The record is from RNAcentral. RNAcentral also lists the same sequence under 1 other name. Lineage: Eukaryota; Bacillariophyta; Thalassiosirophyceae; Chaetocerotales; Chaetocerotaceae.
GCCCGGAUAGCUCAGUUGGUAGAGCAGUGGAUUGAAGAUCCUCGUGUCACCGGUUCGAAUCCGGUUCUGGGCA